RNAcentral lists this ribosomal RNA (492 nucleotides) under uncultured bacterium. Its description in RNAcentral is "partial 16S ribosomal RNA". It matches the Rfam family "Bacterial small subunit ribosomal RNA", at positions 29 to 507 of the family's 1533-position model. The record is from RNAcentral.
AGUGAACGCAGGCGGUAGGCCUAGCACAUGCAAGUCGAACGGCAGCACAGUAAGAGCUUGCUCUUACGGGUGGCGAGUAGCGGACGGGUGAGGAAUACAUAGGAAUCUACUUUUACGUGGGGGAAAACGUAGGGAAACUUACGCUAAUACCGCAUACGACCUACGGGAGAAAGCAGGGGAUCUUCGGACCUUGCGCGAAUGAAUGAGACGAUGUCGGAUUAGCUAGUUGGCGAGGUAAAGGCGCAACAAGGCGACGAUCCGUAGCUAGUCUGAGAGGAUGAUGCGCCACACUGUAACUGAGACACGGUCCAGACUCCUAAGGGAGGCAGCAUUAGGGAAUAUUGGAAAAUGGGCGCAAGCCUGAUCCAGCCAUACCGCGUGGGUGAAGAAGGCCUUCUGGUUGUAAAGUCCUUUUGUUAGGAAAGAAAAUCAGCAGAUUAAAAGCCCGAUGUUCUGACGGUACCCAAAUAAUAAGCACCGGCUAACUUCGUG